Long non-coding RNA from Amphiprion ocellaris (clown anemonefish), 3251 nucleotides. RefSeq lists it as uncharacterized. The record is from RefSeq and is a predicted model, not a curated record. NCBI's taxonomy places the organism in Eukaryota, Metazoa, Chordata, Actinopteri, Pomacentridae. The transcript is spliced from 2 exons.
UCCUCUCACCUACUUGAAAAAUACGUGUUUUUUAUUUCGGCCCGCACGUUUCUUUUUACUGUCUGUAGAUGAUAUUUACAUGGAUAUAGACUUUAUUAAGUAGUGAUGCCGGCGUUUUUCGGCGACGUCUUCUUUAUCUGGUAUCUUUAUUUCACGUAAAUCCAGGUCUGAUCGUGACGAAUCUGCAGACGAAACAUCUGGAGACGGAAACUAUCGCCAGUUAACCUGAUCACCAGUCAAACUGGAACACCGGCUCACUGUGCUGCAUACAGUUACACACUACGUCGUACGAUUGAGACAAGGAAACUUGGAAUGACUUUUCAUAGGUAAGAAUAGUUUUUGGCUCUUUUUUCAUUAUUAAAUCUUGUUGAGAGCUUCCAGUCUAUGAGAGCUAACUAGUUAGCCACUAGCAAAACGCUAAGGCGAGCAAGCAGCUUGACAACCAAAUACCAGACGAUUAAUAGUAGCUGUAGUAUAGUUGUACAAGCAGUAGUAGUAAUACUAAAAGUACAAGCAGCAGUAGUAGUAUAAACAGCUGUUAGAGUCGUAGAAGUAGUAUCAGCAUUUGUAAUAGUAUUCCAAGUUGUAGUAGCAGUGCCAGUAUCAGCAGCAUUUAAUGUACUACUAGUAGUAGUCAUAUUGCUAUUACUACCACCAAUACUACCAAUAGUAGUUAUAAAGCCUAAAUCAUGUAUAUCCAGAUUACCAUCUAUGUUCUUCCUCCAAACCCAUUUUAUGAUUGGGAUUACAGGUAGUUCUUUAGGACUGUUCUCAAAUAAUUGAAAUGUUACUAAACAAGGUUAUACUUAUCAAAUUAAAUAGCUCUGGUCUCCAGUAUAUUGGCUAAUUCGGUUCUUUGUACUUAAUUUAUUAGCAUGAUUUCUUUUUAAUAUGUUGUGUAGAGACUUAUUUACUUGUCUGUCUACUUUUCUUACUCCAUGUAGGUUUCCCAGAGACUAUGGCUUGAGGAGGAAUUGGAAGUUUGUCGGCUUAGACCUGGUGUCAUUCCAUCAGUGUUAAACUUCCCGGCUCAUCUUGGAAGAGUACGUGCCAGAAAGACCACGACCAAGCAGCCUUGAGAUCUUAGACAGCGUCUCCCUGAGGUCCCUCUCUAUCUCCCCACACAUCCACCAACCACUGGAACACAUCUCCAAAGUUCUGCUGGACCAGCUCAGCUUCCCCUCAGAAGAAGUGCUGCCACCUGCCAGAUGAAGGAGCCUUUUGAGAGGCAGCUGGCAUCGUGAUUGGACUGUACUUUGGUCUGUUCCAAUCCAGCUUCAGCUCCAGAGACGGCAGGUGGGACGAGUCAACGGAGGCCGGAUGGACGAAGACAUGCAGCUGAGUACAAUCCAGAAAGCAACAGAGGAGGAGUGCAGCAGCCCAGAGCCAGAACAACCAGAGUAGCAUCGUAUGUCUCUUAGAAAACAUCAUAGUACAGCCUUUGCUAUGAAAAAACACCAUCAUACACAUCGUAUAUUGUACAAAUAACAAGUCAAAGCAAAGAGACAUACAUUGUAGAAUUGUAGUAAUUGUGGGCUGACUGAUUUACUGAUUAGCAGUAUUUUAUUUUUUACUGAUAUACGGUGAUAAAUACAUUUAAAAAUGCCGCUACUUUGGCUCUGAACCUUUAUCUACCUGUGGUCGCUCUGUCUUCUGGAGUGAUUUGAUUGGUUAUACGUCACGAAUAAAACUCCUUUAACUUAACAUCUGUAAACAAAACAAAAACGUAUCAACAAAGUUUUCUGUUAGAGUUUGUGUUCUAAGUUUAACUCAAGAUUUUAAAUACUUUCAUUUACUGCAAAUGAAUAUCUACUCCAAAUGUCUCACUAAUAAUCAUUAUCAGCCUUAAAAACCCACAAAACACCCCUCUAUACUCGACCAAACUUAGUACAGUCUGGUUCCCCCUUCUAUAAAUCUGCUUGGAAUCGUCCACUUCCUGUUUGUCAAAGUGGCCUUCUACCUGGACAGGUUUUGUUGGAGCUCAUGCAACAAACAUUUUGGGUAACUGCACUUUAAUAUGGAUGGAUGACACUGAAUUAGAGUCUGUUUUAAUGAGACUGAGUUAAGAUGUGUAGCUCUGUCAUUAAAUAGUAAAUUAUUUCUCAGAAUUCACAGAGAAAUGUCUGAAAUGUUUGCUAGGUUAGCGUCCCACAUGUUCUUUGGCUCAGCUAAAGCUAACUCUCUCCAACUUGUGGAUCUCUUGAGUUGCUUGUUGUUAAAAUAUCUUGCUAGAGGUGCUGAAGCUCACAAAGUCUGAGAUGUUUGUUCAAAAUAAGCUCAUUCUCAAGUCUCUGAACUGUUCUCUUUUGUUUGAACUUUCCCUAAACUUAGGAGUUAAUGACAGAGCAGCACAUCCAGACUCAGUCUCAUUUAUGUAGAGAUUAAACUUCAGUGUCAUUCAUUGAUGUUAAAGUGCAGUUUUUCAAAUGUUUGUUGCACAUGCUCCCGACCAAACCAGUCCAGGUGGAAGACGAUGUGAAGAGAAAGCUCCAGAGGAUGAAUAUCACACAUUUAUGUUGGAAAUUAAUGUCCUUUAAUAAGACAUUGUCAUGCAAAAGUUGGAUUUCCCUUUAAUGAUGUUAAAAUCUUUGUUGAGUGUUUUGUUGAUGUUGGUUUCUAAAUGUUUUCUGACACUCGGCCCCAAAGAUUAAAACCUUCUAUGGCUCACAAGCUGCAACAAUUCACACAUUAUCAACUAUCUUUCUGACUAAACUAAGAUAAAAAGUGAAAAACUGCCUGAUUCCUGCAUCAUGAAUGUAAAUCUUUUUGGUUUUUAUGACAGUAAACUGAUUUGGGCUUGCCAUUUUAUAAACCAAAACAAGAAAUGAAUUACUGGAGAAAACGAUAGAUUAAUGGACAAAGAAAAUGUUUUUUCCAACAUAUAUGGCUGAAUUACUCCAACAUUACAAGAUACAUACAAUUUUAAUUCAAUUUUAUUUCUGUAACGCCAAAUACAGGUCAAAUUGUCUCAAGACGCUUUAUUUUCAUACUUUUUUGUCAUAUUUAAAAUAUGACAAAGUAAGAAAUUUAAACCUCUUGACUAAUCCAAUUUAUUAUUUAGUUUUUAAGAGAUUAAUCGACACCUAAAAUAACUUUCUCCACUAAAACUAAUAAACAUGAGGUCAAAUAGAAGGAACAGUUUUAAAUACUGCAGUCCCACAACGACAAGAAUAAAGUUUGUCAACAAAAACUAAAUCUGCUGGUGGAUUCCAUUAAAGUCCUAAGAAAUGAUAAUAAAGUGUGAUACUAAA